CAGGCGCCCCGAGCCGCGCACGCGCAGUAAAGGUAGGAUGGUGGUGUUGGUACCUUUUGUGGUUCCCAUCGUGGGUGACAAAACCUUGUUGGUGUGGGAGCUGAGCUGUGGACCCACGGCCGAGGCCUUGCAAGUGAGCCGAGCCGGGGCAGAGGGAGGGGUGGAGGAAGCCACCUCGCGCCUCAGUAACUGGGCGCCCCGGGGUACUGCUUCAGCACCUCAUCUGCCUGUGGUCUCUGCUGAGAGGAAUCUUAGUUCUAGAGCCGACCUGAGUAGUCAGCUCGCCCCCACAGAUUUUUGAGAGAUAGUUCCCAACAGCCGGCAUUGCCUCCUAAUGCUUCUCGAAGCUUAGGAUUUCAGAGGGAAAGCUGGUCCUGAAAUGAGAAGUGUUUGGAGUUGCAGGAUCACCACAGUUGCCUGCGGCGAAGGGCUGGGGGAAUAGAAAGGAACGGGCGGUUUGGCUUCCUGGGCGUGAAAUUUCCUGCACUUACUUAGCAUGGGCCCACCCUACAGCAUUCUCUGUUCACAGUCUUCUCCCAGUUUGGCCUUCUGUAUUCGGUCCGAGUCUGCCCAAACGCAGCAGUGGCCGGUCCUGUGUUCUAUGCCAUCAUCGAGGUUUAUUCAGCAAGGGAUGCCCACAGAGCCCAAAAGGCAUGCGACCAGAAGCAGCUUUUUCAGACAUCUCCAGUGAAGAUUUAUUCUCAUCGAAUUGCAAAAGGGGAAGAUAAAAAAAGAAGCAGAAGGGGCUUUUUUCGAUUUCUGCUGCGUAAGAGAAGCUCAGGGGAAAGUGAGAGUCAGGAGGGCUUUUUCGGGAGAAGGCGGCCACUUUGGCUUAGGGAUGUGUAUAGGCCUCUCAACGCCACACGCAAGGAAAACAUGGCACACAAGCUACACGACAGGGAGUCUUCUGAUGAGGAUGAGAUGUACUUCUAUAAGGAUGUACCAUAAAUGGGAAGUCAUCAAAGCCCCAGCAGAGAAGCUUCUGGCUGCAUAUUGGGUUGAUGAAGAGGCGGGUGAGGAAAGUGAGACCGCACACGAGACAGCCACAGAGUGAGCCCUGUUCUGCCUCAAGCCACCGGUAAAUUUUAUUUUCUAAUAUCGGCUUCUCAGCAUUGCUUGUAAAAUACUUCUUUUUCUUAUAUUAAAGUGUAUAAAUUCAUAACCAA
Molecule: long non-coding RNA, 1166 nt
Organism: Balaenoptera acutorostrata (minke whale)
Lineage: Eukaryota; Metazoa; Chordata; Mammalia; Artiodactyla; Balaenopteridae
Exons: 5
Source: RefSeq, a predicted model, not a curated record